This 269-nucleotide ribosomal RNA is filed under the name uncultured prokaryote. RNAcentral's name for it is "partial 16S ribosomal RNA". It matches the Rfam family "Bacterial small subunit ribosomal RNA", at positions 524 to 792 of the family's 1533-position model. The record is from RNAcentral.
UACGUAGGUGGCAAGCGUUAUCCGGAAUUAUUGGGCGUAAAGAGCGCGCAGGUGGUUGAUUAAGUCUGAUGUGAAAGCCCACGGCUUAACCGUGGAGGGUCAUUGGAAACUGGUCGACUUGAGUGCAGAAGAGGGAAGUGGAAUUCCAUGUGUGGCGGUGAAAUGCGUAGAGAUAUGGAGGAACACCAGUGGCGAAGGCGGCUUCCUGGUCUGUAACUGACACUGAGGCGCGAAAGCGUGGGGAGCAAACAGGAUUAGAUACCCGGGUA